Molecule: ribosomal RNA, 253 nt
Filed under: uncultured bacterium
Lineage: Bacteria
Description: partial 16S ribosomal RNA
Rfam family: Bacterial small subunit ribosomal RNA
Source: RNAcentral
UACGUAGGUGGCAAGCGUUGUUCGGAAUUAUUGGGCGUAAAGGGCGCGUAGGCGGCUUGUUAAGUCGGCUGUGAAAGCCCGGGGCUCAACCCCGGAGGGUCAGCCGAUACUGGCAGGCUAGAGUACGGAAGAGGUAGCUGGAAUUCCCGGUGUAGCGGUGAAAUGCGUAGAGCUCGGGAAGAACAUCGGUGGCGAAAGCGCUCUACUGGACUGCAACUGACACUGAGGGACGAAAGCUAGGGGAGCGAAUGGG